AUUGAACGCUGGCGGCAGGCCUAACACAUGCAAGUCGAACGGUAACAGGAAGCAGCUUGCUGCUUCGCUGACGAGUGGCGGACGGGUGAGUAAUGUCUGGGAAGCUGCCUGAUGGAGGGGGAUAACUACUGGAAACGGUAGCUAAUACCGCAUAAUGUCGCAAGACAAAAGAGGGGGACCUUCGGGCCUCUUGCCAUCGGAUGUGCCCAGAUGGGAUUAGCUUGUUGGUGGGGUAACGGCUCACCAAGGCGACGAUCCCUAGCUGGUCUGAGAGGAUGACCAGCCACACUGGAACUGCGGCACGGUCCAGACUCCUACGGGAGGCAGCAGUGGGGAAUAUUGCCCAAUGGGCGCAAGCCUGAUGCAGCCAUGCCGCGUGUAUGAAGAAGGCCUUCGGGUUGUAAAGUACUUUCAGCGGGGAGGAAGGGAGUAAAGUUAAUACCUUUGCUCAUUGACGUUACCCGCAGAAGAAGCACCGGCUAACUCCGUG
Molecule: ribosomal RNA, 490 nt
Filed under: uncultured bacterium
Lineage: Bacteria
Description: partial 16S ribosomal RNA
Rfam family: Bacterial small subunit ribosomal RNA
Source: RNAcentral